GUCUCUUUGAGUUUUUUUAAUGAGGAGAGUUGGGCCUGCUCGGUCAUUUAUAUUUAACAGCUGCGGUAUUAUAACUGUACUAAGGUAGCAUAAUAAUUUGCCUUAUAAAUUGAGGCUAGAAUGAAUGGUUUGACGAAAAUUAUACUGUCUCUAUUUUAUUCAUUAGAAGUUAAUUUUUAUAGUGAGAAAGCUUGGAUGAUUUAAAGGGACGAAAAGACCCUAUUGAGCUUUAUAUUAUAUUUUAAAUAUAAUUUGUUUUGAUUUAUUUAAAUAUAAUUUUGGUUGGGGUGAUCAAGGAAUAAAGUAUAUUUGUAUUAACUUCCUUAGAUAUUAUAUAUAAAUAAAUUAAUAAACCAAAUUUAUUGCUUAGAAGAUAAGUUACCAUAGGGAUAACAGCGUAAUUUUUUUUGAAAGUUCAUAUUGAAAAAAGAGAUUGSCGACCUCGAUGUUGGAUUAAAAUAACCUUAAGGUGGAGAGGCUUUAAUUGGUAAAUCUGUUCGAUUUUUAAAAUUUUAC
This 516-nucleotide ribosomal RNA is filed under the name Amphioctopus marginatus. RNAcentral describes it as "partial 16S ribosomal RNA". It matches the Rfam family "Bacterial large subunit ribosomal RNA", at positions 1819 to 2599 of the family's 2925-position model. Lineage: Eukaryota; Metazoa; Mollusca; Cephalopoda; Octopoda; Octopodidae. The record is from RNAcentral.